Molecule: unclassified non-coding RNA, 154 nt
Filed under: soil metagenome
Description: partial internal transcribed spacer 1
Source: RNAcentral
CAGAGUUAUCCAACUCCCAAACCCAUGUGAACUUAUCUCUUUGUUGCCUCGGCGCAAGAUACCCGGGACCUCGCGCCCCGGGCGGCCCGCCGGCGGACAAACCAAAACUCUUGUUAUCUUAGUUGAUUAUCUGAGUGUCUUAUUUAAUAAGUCA